UACGGAGGGUGCAAGCGUUGUUCGGAAUUACUGGGCGUAAAGCGCACGUAGGCGGGUUUACAAGUCGAUUGUGAAAGCCCCGGGCUCAAUCCGGGAAUGGCAGUCGAAACUGUAAGUCUUGAAUACCUGAGAGGGUGACGGAAUUCCUGGUGUAGAAGUGAAAUUCGUAGAUAUCAGGAGGAACACCGGAGGCGAAGGCGGUUGCCUGGCAGUGUAUUGACGCUGAGGUGCGAAAGCGUGGGGAGCAAACAGG
RNAcentral lists this ribosomal RNA (253 nucleotides) under uncultured bacterium. RNAcentral's name for it is "partial 16S ribosomal RNA". It matches the Rfam family "Bacterial small subunit ribosomal RNA", at positions 524 to 776 of the family's 1533-position model. The record is from RNAcentral.